Molecule: ribosomal RNA, 253 nt
Filed under: uncultured bacterium
Lineage: Bacteria
Description: partial 16S ribosomal RNA
Rfam family: Bacterial small subunit ribosomal RNA
Source: RNAcentral
UACGUAGGGGGCAAGCGUUGUCCGGAAUCAUUGGGCGUAAAGCGCGUGUAGGCGGCUCGGUAAGUCCGCUCUGAAAGUCCAGGGCUCAACCCUGGGAUGCGGGUGGAUACUGCCGGGCUCGAGUCCGGAAGAGGCGAGUGGAAUUCCCGGUGUAGUGGUGAAAUGCGCAGAUAUCGGGAGGAACACCAAUGGCGAAGGCAGCUCGCUGGGACGUGACUGACGCUGAGACGCGAAAGCGUGGGGAGCAAACAGG